Long non-coding RNA from Populus nigra (black poplar), 2526 nucleotides. RefSeq lists it as uncharacterized. The transcript is spliced from 3 exons. Lineage: Eukaryota; Viridiplantae; Streptophyta; Magnoliopsida; Malpighiales; Salicaceae. The record is from RefSeq and is a predicted model, not a curated record.
UUUUUAAUAAGCAACUCUUUCUAUUGUUGUUUUCCUGUUUUGGACUAUCGUUUCUGUGUUUUGAUGUGUCAAUAGAAAAUUGGAUAACUAAAAAGCAUACUGCAAUCAUUGUUUGCCAUUCUAUUUUUUUCCACGUCUUAAUUGUCUUUUUUUGUGACAUUAACAUGCUUCCAUACCAGAGAAUAUGACCAUAAUUGGUAAUAAUUUAUUAAUUCACAUAAAGAUACAUGGUUGAAUAUCUUUUCUAGCCUACGUUGAUAUGCUAAUCUGAUCUAUUUACAUAGAAUUGAUGGUGUAUCCAUACAAGGAACACACAGAAAUAGCUAUUAUAUGCUGGAAAUAAAACAAAGAAAAAUGAAGUUAAAUAAAUUACAUGUUAAAUUUUAUGGGUGGAGAUGUAAACCUCCGAAUAAAAUCUGAAGAUAUGAGAUUCAGCUAUUCUUAAAAUUCAGAAUCUUUGUCUGCAUGUUGCUGUUUGUUAAAGAAUAAGUAAAAUUAACAAUUUUCAAUUGAACUACCACCUACAGUCAUGAGGGUAUUUCUUUUUCCAAAGAACUUUUAAUUGGUUCCAAAUUUUUGAAAAGAAUGUAUGACCUCAAACUAUUGGUGAAUAAAUAUAUUAUGAAAUUGUGAUUUUUGCAGAAUUGGUUAUAUUUUGUUUGCAUAUAUGUUUUUAUUUAAAUACUUGUAGAAAAAUACUACUUUUUUUAUGGUGGCAUAUCUUAUAUUGAUGGAUGGACAGAAAUUAGUAGCUUAUAUACUGACAUCCAUGAGUUUAAUGCAUAAAUCUGCAAUAAUUCUCUGAUUCAUAAUCAGCAUUCAUAUUCUUGCAUUGUCAUGGGUUCAAUUUCUUCAACACUAGCGAUAAAACUAAUGUGGUGUUUGCUAGUUCCAAGAUUGUUUUGUAGUUAUAAAACAGAACAGCGUAAAGGAAAUUAAAAGUAUCAAGACUUUUAGGCAUAGUUUAAAGCGGCAUCCUGUAUUUUUUGUUAUGAAAUGUCCACCACAGGCCCCGGCAUUUACAUAAGACGUCAAAUAGGCCAUUUUUCUAUCAGGAUAAACUAUUGUUGGAAAGUAAUAACUUGAAUUAUUCUCGUAGUUCCUGAAAUGCAAUGAAGCAUUUUGAAUACAUUAUUUCUCAAUUAGCCUCCUGUCUCAACAUGUGCAUUUAAGAUUCCAGUUAAAUUAAUGCCCUUAGUUGACAUAGGGGGGUUUAUUCGGAAAAAUAGUGGUGGGAAAAUGUGUCUAUGAUCAUAAGGAGGCUUAUUCAGUCAUCUAAGGAGCUGGUGGUAAUUUGUAAAAAUUAUCCAGUUAGUGUCCCACUAUUGUAGAGCCCAAGAUUCUGGAAUUAACUAUAGGUGUUAAAUAGUUUGUAUAUCAAAUUCCUGAAGCAUUCUGCGUCAUUGAGCAUGAAUGCACACUGUAUUAGUUCUUUUUGCUGGUUGAGUCCGAAAGAGCUUCAAAUAUAUAAUUGCUUUGCAACUGAUGCUCUCUCAUUAACAAUAGAUGAUGUCAUUUUGAUUUCUGUGAGGCUUUGAGGGACUAUGAGAUGAUUGUGCAGUUUUAAACCAAGUACCUGGUGAAUUUUAAUGUGCCCGUCUGAUCAAGUGGACUUUUCUGCAUGCAAAUCUCUAUAUCUUCUCCUCUCUUUCUUUCCUCUCACUUUUCUUUUGUCAAAAUGUUGGCUUUGCUUGGUUGUCCAAUUCUGUGGUGAGGGUAUGCUCAAAUGGAAAUAUAUGCCAGUAUCUUGUUAACUGUGUUCUUGAAUCAGCUUUAUUAUUUCACAAAUCUUGUUUCAGCUAAGUCCUUUAUUGUCGAGUUAAAUGCCAAAUCUCUUUUUCUUUGGAUGCAAUUGAAUUUGAAGAGAGUAUGCGAGCAGCUAGGUUGGACAGCAAGGUAUCACAAGUACAAGCUUUUCGAGCACAGACAGGUCAUGGUCCCCCAACAAGAAUGCGUUGCAUGGAAACAAAUAUAGAUUACGAACUGCCAAAUUGUUGCUUACAUGUGUAGACUUUUUAGUCAAUCGUACUAACUUUCCAACUGGCAUUGGUUCUGACUUGCAGAUCAAAUUAUCCAUACAUGGAAGCUGAACCUGGUGAAUUGACAGUUGAAGAUGUGGAAAGAUUUCUGAGUCUGUACAAAGAUGUAGUUACAAAGUACACUCAACUCUGCAGGGCCGUUUGGCAUCCCUCUGCAACCAGAACAGAACCAUCUCAUCCUGAGAUGAAAUUUUAUUCCAACUUGAUGGACAACUGCAAAUGAUCCAAGAGGAGAAUGAGGUGCACAAAUUUGUCAGUGGUGCACCAAAUGAAGUUGACGCGUCAAGUGCUACGAAGGUUGGUGAUUUUCACUUGAAAACUUCUGGAAAGCACAAGCAUAAUCAACUUUGUAUGCUAUUGGUAAGGUUUUCAGAAAUGGACAAUUUACAAGCUACUUCAGACAAUACAACUUUCAGUUCUGAUUCAUUAAACCAAUGAAAGUUGAGAAAAAUACUUUAAAUAUCAAAAGCAAUAGUUCAGUAUCAAA